Molecule: ribosomal RNA, 661 nt
Filed under: uncultured eukaryote
Lineage: Eukaryota
Description: bacterial SSU rRNA
Rfam family: Eukaryotic small subunit ribosomal RNA
Source: RNAcentral
UAAGCCAUGCAUGUGUCAGUAUAAGUAUUAUAUAGCGAAACUGCGAAUGGCUCAUUACAUCAGUCAUAAUUUACUUGAUAUUUGAAAGUUACAUGGAUAACCGUGGCAAUUCUACAGCUAAUACAUGCGUUCAUACCCAACUUCACGGAAGGGUAGUAUUUAUUAGAUAUUAAACCAAUCCUUCGGGUUGUGAUGAUUCAUAAUAACUGAUCGAAGCGAGGAUUUCCUUGCUAAAUCAUUCAAGUUUCUGCCCUAUCAGCUUUAGAUGGUAGUGUAUUGGACUACCAUGGCUAUCACGGGUAACGGAGAAUUAGGUUCGAUUCCGGAGAGGGCGCCUGAGAAAUGGCGACCACAUCUAAGAUGGCAGCAGGCGCGAAAAUUGCCCAAUCCCGAUUCGGGGAGGCAGUGACAAGAAAUAACAACCCAGGGGAUUUCCCCAGGGAUUGUAAUGAGAAAAAUCUAAAAAACUUAUCGAGUAUCAACUGGAGGGCAAGCUAUGGUGCCAGCAGCCGCGGUAAUUCCAUCUCCAGUAGCGUAUAUUAAAGUUGCUGCAGUUAAAAAGCUCGUAGUUGAAAUUCUGCCCGGUCGAGCGAUCUCCACAUGGUCUUCGCCUCACCGGGCAUCAGUCUGCAAUCAUUUUCACGGCAUUCACUUGUCGGGA